UAUCGAGCAACCUGGUCCUCAGGUCCUAACCGAGCAGCAGUAGGAAUCCUCACCAUUGACUGAAGGUCUGAAAGUAAAAGGUCCGCCUUGAGUGGAUGAGGUCAUCCGGUCGUAACCGUCGUGGUUAGCGAAGAACAUUGCCUAGCUUGAUAAUGCUUGGUCCCCGUAGGACGGAUAGCCUAUCCAGAUAAAGGCUCUUGCGAAGUACGUCGCCGAGCAGGCUGCGGUUAUUUACGUGUGGUGGUCAAGAGUUAUCCCGCAAUUUUUCGGCGGUUAAGGCGGCGCGCACGGUGGAUUUCUUAAGUUCUUAUUGUGAAAAGCCCCCGUCUCCACCCGUGGGAGGGUCAUUGGAAACUUGGGAGACUUGAGUGCAGAAGGAGGAAAGUGGAAUUCCCAUGUGUAGCGUUGAAAAUGCGUAGAGAUUUGGAGGAACACCAGUGGCGAAGGCGACUUUCUGGUCUGUAACUGACACUGAGGCGCGAAAGCGUGGGGAGCAAACAGGAUUAGAUUUCCUGGUAGUCCACGCCGUAAACGAUGAGUGCUAAGUGUUAGAGGGUUUCCGCCCUUUAGUGCAGAAGUUAACGCAUUAAGCACUCCGCCUGGGGAGUACGGCCGCAAGGCUGAAACUCAAAGGAAUUGACGGGGGCCCGCACAAGCGGUGGAGCAUGUGGUUUAAUUCGAAGCAACGCGAAGAACCUUACCAGGUCUUGACAUCCUCUGAAAACUCUAGAGAUAGAGCUUCUCCUUCGGGAGCAGAGUGACAGGUGGUGCAUGGUUGUCGUCAGCUCGUGUCGUGAGAUGUUGGGUUAAGUCCCGCAACGAGCGCAACCCUUGAUCUUAGUUGCCAUCAUUAAGUUGGGCACUCUAAGGUGACUGCCGGUGACAAACCGGAGGAAGGUGGGGAUGACGUCAAAUCAUCAUGCCCCUUAUGACCUGGGCUACACACGUGCUACAAUGGACGGUACAAAGAGCUGCAAGACCGCGAGGUGGAGCUAAUCUCAUAAAACCGUUCUCAGUUCGGAUUGUAGGCUGCAACUCGCCUACAUGAAGCUGGAAUCGCUAGUAAUCGCGGAUCAGCAUGCCGCGGUGAAUACGUUCCCGGGCCUUGUACACACCGCCCGUCACACCACGAGAGUUUGUAACACCCGAAGUCGGUGGGGUAACCUUUAUGGAGCCACCCGCCUAAGUGACGAUUCCG
RNAcentral lists this ribosomal RNA (1198 nucleotides) under Bacillus sp. (in: firmicutes). Its description in RNAcentral is "bacterial SSU rRNA". It matches the Rfam family "Bacterial small subunit ribosomal RNA", at positions 302 to 1479 of the family's 1533-position model. The record is from RNAcentral. Lineage: Bacteria; Bacillati; Bacillota; Bacilli; Caryophanales; Bacillaceae.